RNAcentral lists this long non-coding RNA (1689 nucleotides) under Heterocephalus glaber (naked mole-rat). RNAcentral's name for it is "lncRNA (ENSHGLG00100044120.1)". The record is from RNAcentral. Lineage: Eukaryota; Metazoa; Chordata; Mammalia; Rodentia; Bathyergidae.
CCCAGCGCCAGUCCUGCAGCCAUUGCUAAUGUUUGGGCUGCAGAAACCUGGGGUUGCCCGCGGGAGAAGGGGCGGUGGUCCCAGGCUGCAGGCAGGGGGCGCCAGAGGAUGCCCAGGGGCCCGGCAGGCAGCUGGCAAGGCGGGCAAGCGGGCGGCAUCUCUCGGCCCGGGCGCCCCUCCCCCGCGGGCAACAAACCCGCCGCAUGCUCUGCAUUGGCCGUGGCCGCAGAGGACCACCCGUGGCUGUGCCCUCGGACCGAGCCGACUGCGGGAGUGGCCACCAACUUCACAGCCUACCACCCCCGAAAUCAUGCCUGCCCCUGGGGCUGCAGGAGGGUGAGCCUGGUGCCCGGCUCCAUGCCCAGUGGUGGGAGGAGAGGCUGAGUGAUCUGGCCAGAGAUGAACACGGGAGUCAGGGAUGCGGGUCUAGCGGAGAUCCUGGCCAGAGGGAGGGGGCUUGGGGAAGACAAGGGGGACACGGCCCAUAUUCCAGGCUGGGGGGAGGGGACUUGCAGCAGAGAUUGGCGAGGGAAGGCUGUACUCUGGGGCAGAUAUGGGGGGAGGGGGCGCUUGGGGCAGAAAUAGAGGGGGCACAUGGUCGGGGUACAGGCGCUGAGGAGGGCAGAAACAGACGGAUAGAGAUAGGAGACUCCGGCAGAGACGAAGUGCCGGAGAGGACCAAGGGUCCGGCACCCAGACAAGGAGGCGAGACACAGUUGAGCUGCAGGUUGGCGAGAGGGGCUCUCUAUUCAAGGGGAGGGGGCACUGCUGGAUCCGGACUGAGACUGGGAAAGACUGGAGACAGCGACUGGGGACGGUCUAGGACAGGAUUCUAAAGAUGGGGGACUUUAACACAGACGGCGCCGGCGCGGGAGAAGCCCCGGAUUAGAAGACUUUCGAGAAGGGUGGACACUGAGGCCUCCCAGAACAGCUCAGCAGGAGGCCCAGCACCAAGAUCUGCUCCAAAAACAUGGAAGGAAGGAAGGAAGGAAGGAAAAGAGAAGACAGUACCAGCAUUGAUGAAAAUUGAAAUCUGGGCCACUCUGACUCUGUUGAUGGAAGGGAAAAUUAGAACAACUUUUCUGGAAAACCACUGAGCGGUGGUGUCAAGAGCUUUAAAACAGACAGACCCUCUGGUCCCAUUCAUCUACUUUUAGGAACUCAAUCCAAGAAAUAACCAAAGACGCCAAAAAAGACCCAUGUACAAGGAUGCUUAUUACUGUUAUUUAUAACUGUGAAAAAUCCCAACCAACAUAAAUGUCUAGCAAUGGAGGGCUGGUUAAAUAAAUUAUGAUACAUCCAUAUAUAAGAAUGUUAUGUAAACAUUAAAUGUCAUGUUCUUGAAGAAUUUUUAAUAACCUGGGAAAUACCAUUUUAUAAGUAAAGCACAACAGAAAACAAAACCGUCCAUCUAGGAUGGUCUUGAUUGUAUAAAGAAAACAUUUAAUCAAUUCAUGUAAAGAAAGUCUGGAAGGAAAUAAAUGAGAGUUAAUCUGAGAAGAUUAUGGGUGAUUUUUUUGUUUGUUUCAGCAUACUUCUUUAUUUCUUACAAAUCUACAAUUUUUCAGGAAAAUUUAUUAGAAAUACAUGCAACCUGGGAGCUGGGCAUGGGAGAAUCAAAGUUUGAGACCAGCCUGGGCAACUUAGUGAGACCCUGUCUCAAAAUAAAAAAUAAAAAGGGAUGGAGAU